AACGAACGCUGGCGGCAUGCCUAACACAUGCAAGUCGAACGAGACCUUCGGGUCGAGUGGCGCCCGGGUGCGUAACGCGUGGGAACCUGCCCUUAGGUUCGGAAUAACUCCCCGAAAGGGGUGCUAAUACCGGAUAAUUUCUUCGGACCAAAGAUUUAUCGCCUUUGGCUGGGCCCGCGUUGGAUUAGCUAGUUGGUAGGGUAAAAGCCUACCAAGGCGACGAUCCAUAGCUGUUCUGAGAGGAUGAUCAGCCACACUGGGACUGAGACACGGCCCAGACUCCUACGGGAGGCAGCAGUGGGGAAUAUUGGACGAUGGGCGAAAGCCUGAUCCAGCAAUGCCGCGUGAGUGAUGAAGGCCUUAGGGUUGUAAAGCUCUUUUACCCGGGAUGAUAAUGACAGUACCGGGAGAAUAAGCUCCGGCUAACUCCGUG
RNAcentral lists this ribosomal RNA (433 nucleotides) under uncultured bacterium. Its description in RNAcentral is "partial 16S ribosomal RNA". It matches the Rfam family "Bacterial small subunit ribosomal RNA", at positions 29 to 507 of the family's 1533-position model. The record is from RNAcentral.